UCCUUUGGGCCCAACCUCCCAUCCGUGUCUAUUAUACCCUGUUGCUUCGGCGGGCCCGCCGCUUGUCGGCCGCCGGGGGGGCGCCUUUGCCCCCCGGGCCCGUGCCCGCCGGAGACCCCAACACGAACACUGUCUGAAAGCGUGCAGUCUGAGUUGAUUGAAUGCAAUCAGUUAAAACUUUCAACAAUGGAUCUCUUGGUUCCGGCAUCGAUGAAGAACGCAGCGAAAUGCGAUAACUAAUGUGAAUUGCAGAAUUCAGUGAAUCAUCGAGUCUUUGAACGCACAUUGCGCCCCCUGGUAUUCCGGGGGGCAUGCCUGUCCGAGCGUCAUUGCUGCCCUCAAGCCCGGCUUGUGUGUGGGGGUCGCCGUCCCCCUCUCCGGGGGGACGGGCCCGAAAGGCAGCGGCGGCACCGCGUCCGAUCCUCGAGCGUAUGGGGCUUUGUCACAUGCUCUGUAGGAUUGGCCGGCGCCUGCCGACGUUUUCCAACCAUUUUUUCCAGGUUGACCUCGGAUCAGGUAGGGAUACCCGCUGAACUUAAGCAUAUCAAUAAGCGGAGGAAAAGAAACCAACCGGGAUUGCCUCAGUAACGGCGAGUGAAGCGGCAAGAGCUCAAAUUU
Molecule: ribosomal RNA, 618 nt
Filed under: fungal sp.
Lineage: Eukaryota; Fungi
Description: eukaryotic LSU rRNA
Rfam family: 5.8S ribosomal RNA (bases 176-329)
Source: RNAcentral